CGCAAAUUUCCCUAAAAUUUUAAAGCUUAGCUUUCCCUUUUUCCACCGUCAAAAGCAUAUGGUUGACCGCGUGUCUCAAGUCAAAUCAAAGCCCAUUCAAAAAUCCGUAGUACAUGUAAUGCAACGAUAACUUUGGCUUGCGCGCUGUCUCUUUGCGUAUUUAUAUGCAAGCAAUUUAGGGCUCCCUCUCCCGCCGCCCGCUCCAUUAGUUUCCUGAAGCAACUCCUAUUGAUUAUUAUUUGGUGGUAAUAAUCUGCUCCUGUACAUAUUUCUGUAACAUUAUUCGCAUUCUGUUUCCGAAUUUGCUGUUUAUUUUUAUGCUAUGAAGAAUUACUGCAUUUUCCUUUUUGAAUGAUUUUCUUUUGUCGAAAUUCCAUAUUCAGAGUGGUGCUGGGGGGAAGGGAAGUAUAUUUAUUGGAUGGCUCUUCGAUUUGAG
This 436-nucleotide long non-coding RNA is filed under the name Olea europaea subsp. europaea. Lineage: Eukaryota; Viridiplantae; Streptophyta; Magnoliopsida; Lamiales; Oleaceae. The record is from RNAcentral.